This 1440-nucleotide ribosomal RNA is filed under the name uncultured bacterium. RNAcentral's name for it is "16S ribosomal RNA". It matches the Rfam family "Bacterial small subunit ribosomal RNA". The record is from RNAcentral.
UAGAGUUUGAUCCUGGCUCAGGAUUAACGCUGGCGGCGUGCUUAACACAUGCAAGUCGAACGGGGUAUAGUUUUCGGAUUAUACUUAGUGGCGGACGGGUGAGUAACGCGUGGGGAACCUGCCCUAUACAGGGGGACAACAGUUAGAAAUGACUGCUAAUACCGCAUAAGCGCACAGAGCUGCAUGGCUCGGUGUGAAAAGAUUCAUCGGUAUAGGAUGGACCCGCGUCUGAUUAGCUAGUUGGUGAGGUAACGGCCCACCAAGGCGACGAUCAGUAGCCGAUCUGAGAGGAUGAGCGGCCACAUUGGGACUGAGAGACGGCCCAGACUCCUACGGGAGGCAGCAGUGGGGAAUAUUGCACAAUGGAGGGAACUCUGAUGCAGCGACGCCGCGUGAGUGAAGAAGUAUUUCGGUAUGUAAAGCUCUAUCAGCAGGGAAGAGAAUGACGGUACCUGACUAAGAAGCACCGGCUAAAUACGUGCCAGCAGCCGCGGUAAUACGUAUGGUGCAAGCGUUAUCCGGAUUUACUGGGUGUAAAGGGAGCGCAGGUGGCAUGGCAAGCCAGAAGUGAAAGCCCGGGGCUUAACCGCGGGACUGCUUUUGGAACUGUUGUGCUGGAGUGCAGGAGGGGUAAGCGGAAUUCCUAGUGUAGCGGUGAAAUGCGUAGAUAUUAGGAAGAACACCGGUGGCGAAGGCGGCUUACUGGACUGUAACUGACACUGAGGCUCGAAAGCGUGGGGAGCAAACAGGAUUAGAUACCCUGGUAGUCCACGCGGUAAACGAUGAAUACUAGGUGUCGGGGAGCAAAGCUCUUCGGUGCCGCCGCAAACGCAGUAAGUAUUCCACCUGGGGAGUACGUUCGCAAGAAUGAAACUCAAAGGAAUUGACGGGGACCCGCACAAGCGGUGGAGCAUGUGGUUUAAUUCGACGCAACGCGAAGAACCUUACCUGCUCUUGACAUCCCAUUCAACAGAUGGUAAUGCGUCUGGCCCUUCGGGGGAAUGGAGACAGGUGGUGCAUGGUAGUCGUCAGCUCGUGUCGUGAGAUGUUGGGUUAAGUCCCGCAACGAGCGCAACCCUUAUUGACAGUAGCCAGCAGGCAAAGCUGGGAACUCUGUUGAGACUGCCCGGGAUAACCGGGAGGAAGGUGGGGAUGACGUCAAAUCAUCAUGCCCCUUAUGGGCAGGGCUACACACGUGCUACAAUGGCGUAAACAGAGGGAAGCGAAGUGGGGACAUGGAGCAAAUCUCAAAAAUAACGUCUCAGUUCGGAUUGUAGUCUGCAACUCGACUACAUGAAGCUGGAAUCGCUAGUAAUCGCGAAUCAGAAUGUCGCGGUGAAUACGUUCCCGGGUCUUGUACACACCGCCCGUCACACCAUGGGAGUCGGUAAUGCCCGAAGUCAGUGACCCAACCGGAAGGAGGGAUCUGCCGAAGGCAGG